UCAGUUACAAUCUAGCAUCUGGGGCUUACAAACGGGUAUCUGAUUGCUCUAUCUAAUGCCUCGGGAAGGUCUGAGAGUUGGUCAAAGUUCGCUUCAAACGUGUCCCGUAUUGUUUCUUAGGCGUGUGAACUUAAACUAAUCAAUUUCCUAGCAGGAAACUUGUAUAAUUAAGAGGCAAAAGAACAAGAAAUUCUGCACUCAAUUUUAUGGCGCGUGCAUUGGAAACUUUUGUGACCAGCGAUUUUAGUGCGAUAUGCUUGCUACUCAAAAAUAUAUUCUUUUGCUUGCCUCCUUGGUGAUGAUAAGGAAGAUAUUGGCGAGUAGAACUCAAUUCAGACUAAUCUGUGACCGA
This 352-nucleotide RNase P RNA is filed under the name Glossina pallidipes. Its description in RNAcentral is "nuclear RNase P". It matches the Rfam family "Nuclear RNase P". From Rfam's summary of the family: Ribonuclease P (RNase P) is a ubiquitous endoribonuclease, found in archaea, bacteria and eukarya as well as chloroplasts and mitochondria. Its best characterised activity is the generation of mature 5'-ends of tRNAs by cleaving the 5'-leader elements of precursor-tRNAs. Lineage: Eukaryota; Metazoa; Arthropoda; Insecta; Diptera; Glossinidae. The record is from RNAcentral.